Molecule: ribosomal RNA, 253 nt
Filed under: uncultured bacterium
Lineage: Bacteria
Description: partial 16S ribosomal RNA
Rfam family: Bacterial small subunit ribosomal RNA
Source: RNAcentral
UACGUAGGAGGCGAGCGUUGUCCGGAGUUACUGGGCGUAAAGGGUGCGUAGGCGGCCGCGCGCGUGGGGGGUGAAAUCUCUCGGCUUACCCGGGAGGGGGCUUUCCAGACGGCGUGGCUUGAGGGACGGAGAGGGGCGUGGAAUUCCGGGUGGAGCGGUGAAAUGCGUAGAGAUCCGGAGGAACACCGACGGCGAAGGCAGCGCCCUGGCCGUCUCCUGACGCUGAGGCACGAAAGCUAGGGGAGCGAACAGG